GGCCGGUUAGCUCAGUUUGUUGAGCAUGGUGCUGAUAACACCAAGGUCACGGGUUCGAUUCCUGUUUGGUCCC
Molecule: non-coding RNA, 73 nt
Organism: Apaloderma vittatum (bar-tailed trogon)
Lineage: Eukaryota; Metazoa; Chordata; Aves; Trogoniformes; Trogonidae
Source: Rfam